UGCCAGCCGCCGCGGUAAUACGGAGGAUCCAAGCGUUAUCCGGAUUUAUUGGGUUUAAAGGGUUCGUAGGCGGAAUAUUAAGUCAGUGGUGAAAUCCUACAGCUUAACUGUAGAACUGCCAUUGAUACUGGUCUUCUUGAGUACAAAUGAGGUGGGCGGAAUGUGGCAUGUAGCGGUGAAAUGUAUAGAUAUGCCACAGAACACCAAUUGCGAAGGCAGCUCACUAAAAUGUAACUGACGCUGAGGAACGAAAGCGUGGGGAGCGAACGGGAUUAGAUC
RNAcentral lists this ribosomal RNA (279 nucleotides) under uncultured bacterium. Its description in RNAcentral is "partial 16S ribosomal RNA". It matches the Rfam family "Bacterial small subunit ribosomal RNA", at positions 506 to 784 of the family's 1533-position model. The record is from RNAcentral.